AUGAAGCAGAUGAGAGAAGAGAGGGCCAACCGUCGUAUUUUGGGUAUGCUCUCGUUUACUGUUUGUACAUAUGGUACUGUCCUUGACUAUAAUAAAAUCUUCCAGUAUUCGAUUGUGCAUGAUGAACUUGUUCAACUCAUGGGUAGAGAGGUAUCAGACUUGGUGUUCGCAAAAAUGGCCCGGCGGUCAUCCUACUGGCAGGUCUGCAAGUUGUGUACAGGCCUGCUGUCAUCGAUCAACUCACUGUACUGGGUCAACAGGUACUUCUUUGAUGAACUUAACUUCUAUGUGGGUGUGCCAGUUUACUCAGAAGGAACCGCAGUCAAACCUGCAGAAAUAACCAAGAAUGCCAUGGAAGAGGCAAAAAGAAAUAAUAUUGAUGCGAUCAUAGUGGAUACUGCAGGAAGACUGCAGAUUGAUAAAACAAUGAUGAUUGAAUUGAAAGAAGUAAGGAAGGCAGUUAAUCCUACAAAGAUUUUGCUUGUUGUUGAUGCCAUGACUGGCCAGGAAGUUGCGGAGGAAAGGGAAAAGCCCGAGCUACUGGUUGAAUCACACAAGAGGAGGGUUAGGGUGGCCGAGCUUUUCCAAAUGCGCGCGAAGAUGAAUAAACUGAUGGGUAUGAUGCAAGGGCAAGAAGCAAUUGCAGGGAGGGGAGAUCUCAUGGACUCUCUUAAUGCCGAUGAGAAGAAAACUUAUAGCAGCCUGGAUUGUUAUCGUUCACGCACCUCCUGGCACCGCACGGCGGUGGAGACGGCGGAGCGAGCCGCCGCGGCAGAGGGAGCUGGAUGCGGUGGGUGGUGUCAGUAG
This 807-nucleotide ribosomal RNA is filed under the name Triticum aestivum (bread wheat). RNAcentral's name for it is "partial small subunit ribosomal RNA". The record is from RNAcentral. Lineage: Eukaryota; Viridiplantae; Streptophyta; Magnoliopsida; Poales; Poaceae.